UAUGGGCCGUUUGAUGGGUCUUAUGUAAUGUUUUCUAUGGUUUAGGCCCACAUGUAUUUAGGGCUUCACCACUCUCCGUCUUCUGCUUACAGAGCAUUGCCGUCUUCAAGUUACAGAUGACGUCGUCUCCGAUUCCAACUAUGUAACGUCUGUUAUUGACAAUUAUUGGGUAACCGCCAGAAUCUUCACCUAUAAAUGUGUUUUCAGCCAACGAUGAACGGCAUCCCAUAUACGAAAUCUGAAAACACGAUCCCUGCUACUCACCAACUCAACAAUCGCGCAAUCCUCUAUCUUACAUGGCGAUUUGAAAGCUAGCCACUGUACAAAUGCCACCGAGGUCCGUCUUCUGAGGUUUAGGGAGGCCAGGAAUGUGAAGAAAGGGCGAGAGUUAAUAGGUGUCUGACAUGCUACGGCUUGACGAGAAUUUGACACUUAUCCAAUGGUCCGUCAGUGCCAACUAGGCCUGGGCAUUUCGGGUAUCGGUUCGGUUCGGUUCGAGUAUUUCGGGUUUUGGGUAGUUCGGAUAGGGGCUAGAGGAUCCAUUUAGUACUUGACCUAUUUUCGGUUCGGUUCGGAUAGUAAAUGUAGGAACCGGAAAAUAUCCGGAAAAAGUUCGGUUCUCAUUUGGAUCCGGUUCGGAUAGUUCGGAUAAUUUGGAUAAAAUAUCGGUUAUUUAGGGUAAAAUAUCAAAUAAUUAGGAUGAUUUAGAUAAAAAAUUUGGAUAUUUAGGAUUACUUUGGAUAUUUCGGAUAAAACUAUCUGGAUAGUUUCGGAUACUUUCGGGUAGUUUGGAUACUUUAUAAUAAUUUAGUUAUCCUCAACUAUUUUCGGAUACUUUUAAUAGAAUUUUAAAUUAAAAAUAUAUAUUUAGUGAUGUUAUAUGUAUAUAUAAUUAAUAUUUUUAUAUAUUCGGGUACCCGUUCGGUUCUCGGUUCGGUUCCGGUUCGGUUCGGUUAUUUCGGAUAUAAAAAUAUAGGAACCGUUCGGAUAUUUGAGGGUAUUAGUCCGGUUCCGGUUUCGGAUAUUUCGGUUCGGUUCCGGUUCGGUUCUUCGGUUCCAGUUAUUUUGCCCAGGCCUAGUGCCAACCGUCACAGCCCUUUCCUUGACGUUCAGUGUAGGAUCAUUUUAAACGUUCAGCAGUUUCGACGUCACAAGGAGCUUCACAAGGAGCAACAACAAGUUCCGUCUGUCUGAGACUCCCCUCUCCAUACGCUUCAAUGAUGGGACGUCUUUUGUAGAGCUAACCGAUUCGGUGAAAUAAAUACCUACUGAACUGUUACGAUUUCGUAGACCAGCUACGUGCAUUGGCGAACACCAACAGACAACUACCUGGAGCACUAAUAACGAUACACACGGGUCGCAGCGCGUAAUGCUUACUCUUUGCAUAGAGAGUUAUAUCACCGUGGUCAUUAGCAUCUUUGAUGCCUUAGCCCUUGCAUUUUAUAACAAACUCGAGAGCUACGCGACGGAACCAACAAUUGUACUUGCCACCAGCAUAAAUCCGAAAAUUGUUGGAGGUCGAUUGUUAAUGUCACAUCUGGAACACACCUUUACUUCGACACGGAGACCGCUGUUGGAAAAGAAAAGAUUGACAAGCAAGUGACCCUCAUUCUAAUUAGAUAGAGACCACUUGGUUCACAUUAAGCAUGUUUCCAUCUGCUUUAAUAUAUUUUUUGACUGUCAUUCAACACUUAUCUCUUAAUAGGUUGACAGGUGAAGGCACAUAUGAGACAACAUCUUCAUCGAAGGUGGUAUAUGCACAGAAAGAAGCCCUGAUCGUUUCAGAGCUAAAGCAAUAUGUUAUCGCUGCCGACCCUCAGAUAAUUGAGUUUCUUUGACCGGAAUUCUGCCAGGCUUUGUUAAAGAUGAGGAUGAAGAGGUUCCUGAUGCUCAGCUUCCUGGAGUGAAUGCACUAGCUUCGAAUGGAGCUGCUGAUGAGAACUCCAAUGUUGCGCCCCACCAUCCAUGUCUGCUGAUCCAGCUGCCGAAGGUGAACCAUCAACCAAACAGCAACUUGAUCCGAGCCAGAGUGGAUCCAAGAAGGCACGCUUGGCAUAAGUUCACGUAGAUACCUUUGAUAACCAUCGAAUACUUAUCACGUGGAUACCCUUAACAAAAGUAUUAAUGCUUUAGCAUCUUUUUCUACUUUUGUUUUCAACUCACUGUAGUGAUCAGUGUUUGAAUUAUUAAUGCAAGUUUAUUUUAUA
Molecule: long non-coding RNA, 2207 nt
Organism: Brassica napus (rape)
Lineage: Eukaryota; Viridiplantae; Streptophyta; Magnoliopsida; Brassicales; Brassicaceae
Exons: 8
Source: RefSeq, a predicted model, not a curated record